GCCAGUUUGGCCCAUUCCACCCCAUCCCGUCCCUCCCAGUUCGCCUCCCAGUUCCCCACCACACUCACACUCGCUAGGGUUCCGGCCGCCGCCGUUGUGCGUUGCCCUUCCGCCCCCUACUCAUCGUAACCGCCGGCACCUCCCCCUCCUGCUCCCUCUCCUCGUCGUCGUCGCCACGCUGCGGGGAGCGGCGCCGGCCGCGGGCGUCGCGGAGUCGUGCGCUCACUAGGGUUUCGGCCACCACCGGCGUGUGUUGCCCUCCCUGCGCCGCACAGAUAGGGACCCAUGGCUCCUUCGGCUCGUCGCCGCCGGCACCUACUCCUCCUACUCUCGCUCCUCCUCCUCGCCGCCGCGCUGCGGGGAGCGGCGCCGGCCGCGGGCGCCGCGGAGUCCUUCCGAAAAGAGUAAGAGCGCAUGGUGGACACUCGUCGUAGUUCCGCGGACGGCAGCGGACAGGGAAAGGGCGGCGGGAAGCGCGCGCCGUCGUCGCCGCUGCAGCCCCCGUCCUCUGCCUCUCCCAACAAGCGCUCCAAGGUGACCCUGGCCGGGCUGGCCCCCUGUCCAACAAGCGCUCCAAGGUGACCCUAGCCGGGGUGACCCCAGGAGAAGGCGCCCGUCGCCGCGGCGGCGGAGGCGGAGCAGGGGCCGAGGACCUCGAGGUCGAGGCCUGCUAAGGCGGCGGGGAAGACGCUCGCGCCAUCGACCGCGCGGAAAGCGCUGCCUGCGGCGGCGAGGACGGGGUCGCAAGCGAGGCAGUCGCCGCACUAGGGGUCGUGGGCGAGGCUGCUGUCACAGUAGUUGCGGUGAUUCAUUUCAGCACCAUCCCAUCGGAUCGGCGACUGCUUGGAUCGUGGCCGAGACCUGCAUUGAUUCAUUUCAGACAGUAACUGGAAGUUCAGUACACUUCAGAGGACUACAUGUUGUUAUCACAGUUUGCAGGGAGUUGCCUGAAUAUUCCUGGGGCUGGGGGAGUUCAGAAACAGUUUCGGGAAGAGAUGAUGGAUUGUGCAGUAGUAUUUGAUUGUGAUGCGUUCCUGUCAAAUGGUUUGCGGCCAGUCAGGAGCUCUAACAUGACGACUUCGAAGCUAUAUACAUCGCUCUUCAGUGAGUAUUGGCCAGACAUGGCUACCUCAGGUGCCCUAUAUCCUGAGUUUUCUUCUGAUUCCUGGAAUUGAUGCUACGCAAGUUGUCAGGAAGACUGAGGAUAUUGUGCAUGACAUUACCCCAGAAUCUGAAAGAUUAACACGAAGGAUUAACGCUGGUGUCUACUGCUCGGUCUUGGAAGCAACGUCUACUGCUCGUCCACUACGUAGGUUGGUCGUUUUUGGCACAGGAGGCCAUGAUGGCUGGCCGCCCUGCCUACCCUGUAGGAUUCCAGUCGACGCCAACAUUCAUGGCGUCUUGAUUUCCAUGUAAGUAGCUUCUCCCUAAUCCAUGCUGGUAAAGUCCCAGAGAACUAAUUAUUGUUUAAGUCGUGUACAUUUCUGCAGCAGGAAAGGAAAUGCACCCGAGAGGUUGUUGUUUCUUAAGCUUAGAUUAGUAAUACUAAGACCUGCCAUCCUUAUGCUUGACUCGUUGACUAGGCAAUCAGUAAUUGACCCAUUAAGUUUAGAAGUGUUUAAAUCUUGGUGCUCCAAAGUCCAAUGGUAGUGGGCCAACUGAAUUGUUCUGACUGAGAUCCAGGCCGGUUAAAUUGAGCCUUAUAUUCAUGGGAAGCUUAGGUAUUGGACCACCAAGCUGGUCAGAACUGAAAUCCAUUUCUGUUCCCCUCAUAAAUUUCCCCUAGAAGCAUAGAUUUUCAUCUUCUAACGACAACUGUAAGAAACACAAGCAUAAAUGCUAUCUAUAUGCGUCCAUGCAAUUACACGUGUAUUCAUUUCAACCGAUUCACAUAACAAACACAAAAUUCAUUGUAAAACUUUCUAAAGUUCAAUCCCAACAUAAAAAAUACGAGCAUAAAGUUUAAACAAAUAUUAAUCCUAAUUUUAUUGUGGAAAAAUAGCAAAUUCUAACAACUUUCAACUCUCUUCAUCCUUCAUUAAUGACUUUGACUAUCUUCUACUCCUCGUCGUUUCGCCGUCCUUUUGAGUUGAAUGUAGACUCCACUAGGAGGGCGCUGAGUUGUUUCCUGAACCUGGGGAUGUCAUCCUGCAUAAUAGGUUGAGUUAGUUUGACAAUUGGAUGUGCAUUCUCAAGUGCCGGCAAAAGUUGGGUACAUUUCAUGCAUGCAUGCAUGCACAUCAUGUGUAACCCAUCGGUGUCGGUAUGGACGGAAGGGGUGUUACAAUGCGAUCUUGCUACUCCAAUUCGUCAAACGGACCUAAAUUUUUUUCACGCUUCCUAAUGAACUUCACAAUAAGGCACGUCAAAUU
Hordeum vulgare subsp. vulgare (domesticated barley) is the source of this 2372-nucleotide long non-coding RNA. RefSeq lists it as uncharacterized. The transcript has 3 exons. Lineage: Eukaryota; Viridiplantae; Streptophyta; Magnoliopsida; Poales; Poaceae. The record is from RefSeq and is a predicted model, not a curated record.